GCGGGUGUAGCUCAGUGGCUAGAGCGCCAGCCUUCCAAGCUGGGGGUCACGGGUUCGAAUCCCGCCACCCGCUCCA
Molecule: transfer RNA, 76 nt
Filed under: Nitrospirota bacterium
Lineage: Bacteria; Pseudomonadati; Nitrospirota
Description: Nitrospirae bacterium (groundwater metagenome) tRNA-Gly
Rfam family: tRNA
About the family: Transfer RNA (tRNA) molecules are approximately 80 nucleotides in length. Their secondary structure includes four short double-helical elements and three loops (D, anti-codon, and T loops). Further hydrogen bonds mediate the characteristic L-shaped molecular structure. tRNAs have two regions of fundamental functional importance: the anti-codon, which is responsible for specific mRNA codon recognition, and the 3' end, to which the tRNAs corresponding amino acid is attached (by aminoacyl-tRNA synthetases). tRNAs cope with the degeneracy of the genetic code in two manners: having more than one tRNA (with a specific anti-codon) for a particular amino acid; and 'wobble' base-pairing, i.e. permitting non-standard base-pairing at the 3rd anti-codon position.
Source: RNAcentral